UCUACUCUCUAAGAAACUAGAAACUCUAACUGAGAGUGAGGUGGCUCUGAAGGACAAACUAGUUUCUGAGAUGCUCUAGGUGACAAUUUGAUAAUUUGUCUAGUUUUCUAUGUUGUUUACUUGAUAAUUUGCUUAGUUCAUUACUUGAUAACUGCUUUUACUUAGUUACGGAAACUCUUAGUUCAUUACUUGUUGACUAAAACUUCUCUUCUUCUGUGUCGUUUUGCAGGUGAAGGUUGUUGGUUCUGGAGGUCACGGGUUCUACAAGGUUUAUUGCUUCUGCAGGUCACGGGUUGUGGAGGUCACGGGUUCUAGAGGUCACAGG
Molecule: long non-coding RNA, 325 nt
Filed under: Brassica napus (rape)
Lineage: Eukaryota; Viridiplantae; Streptophyta; Magnoliopsida; Brassicales; Brassicaceae
Description: long non-coding RNA (BNAP_LNC012851)
Source: RNAcentral